AUGUGUGUAUUUUGGUUUUGGAAGGGGAAAAUGUUGCAAUUAUUUUACUACUUUCUAAAACGAAUUUCAAAACCCUCUAACGCGGCGUCGCGUCAUAAAGAAAUUGGCGGCAACAGCCGCACUAGAAAUUCCCAAUCUCUGAAUCUAGGGUUCCGCCACCCCUCCAAGAAUGUUCGGAGCUCAGUCGUCCUCCCCGGCCUUCGCCACCCCUUCCUCCACUCCCGCAUUCGGCACGCCUUCAACUCCGGCGUUCGGUUCAUCGCUCUUCUCCACACCCUUUUCGCAACAAUCCCAACCGCAGCAGCAGCAGCAAACUCCGUCGCUGUUUCAGACGCCUCAGCAACAGCAACAGCAGCAGCAAACUCCAUCGCUCUUUCAGACGCCUCAGCAGCAAACUCCGUCGCUGUUUCAGACGCCUCAGCCGCAGCAACAGCAACAGCAGAGCCCCUUCGGCUUCACGACUACGUUUAAUAAUGCUCAGCAACAGCAAGCGACUCUUUUUAAUAAUGCUUCUCCAACCAAUUUCAUGAAUCAGCAAUUGACCACUCAGAUGGCCC
RNAcentral lists this long non-coding RNA (557 nucleotides) under Salvia miltiorrhiza (redroot sage). RNAcentral describes it as "long non-coding RNA (SMIL_LNC005600)". Lineage: Eukaryota; Viridiplantae; Streptophyta; Magnoliopsida; Lamiales; Lamiaceae. The record is from RNAcentral.